AAAGACUCAUAAAAGUGACUGAUCAUCAGGGCCGGUGCUACCAUUUAGGCCAACUAGGCGGUUGCCUAGGGCGCCAACAUUUGGAGGCACCAAAAAGCAGCACCCCCAAUU
Long non-coding RNA from Gopherus evgoodei (Goodes thornscrub tortoise), 111 nucleotides. RefSeq lists it as uncharacterized. The transcript is spliced from 4 exons. Lineage: Eukaryota; Metazoa; Chordata; Testudines; Testudinidae. The record is from RefSeq and is a predicted model, not a curated record.